Styela clava is the source of this 1768-nucleotide non-coding RNA. The record is from RefSeq and is a predicted model, not a curated record. NCBI's taxonomy places the organism in Eukaryota, Metazoa, Chordata, Ascidiacea, Stolidobranchia, Styelidae.
CAUCCCGUAGUAUUUAUACUUAAAAUUAUGGCCUAACCCUAACCUAGUACACAUAUUACAUUCCGAUGUCCGCCAUCUUGGUUCGCAUACUUCGGGAGCCCCCAAAUUUAAAUUUGUAAACUUGGUCAAAGAUACUGAUUUUGUUGUGAAAUAUAAAAAAAAUCUUUUACUCUAGGUCAUAAAAAGCACUUUUUCAAAAAGCAUCAAAAAUGAGCCCAAACAAGUAUCAAUCUGGCUAACUUAUCAAUAAAGCAUUUAGGUAUUCCGAUUAACCCUAUCUUGUGAAAUCAUUUUUCCAAAGACCACCAAUUUUGUCCAAAUGCAAUCUCAUUCUGUCUAACUAACUUUUUUUUUCACAUUAUACAUUGUCAGCAUUUGGGGAUUAAGGAUGUCUCAUCUUCUUAAUAGAUGGCUUUAUAUGAUUUCUAGACAGUGGUGGGAUUCAAAUUUUUUGUCAGCCGGUUCCUUCACAAAAGUCAUAUUUUUCAGCCGGUUCUGUUACAAACAGAACAUUGACAGUAACCAGUAAAGCUAACCGGUACGCUGAUCUCAUAAAAUUUCGUGAGACGGUUUUAUAGAACCGGUGCGAACCGGCUGAAUCCCACCACUGUAUCUAGUCUAGAGCUACUAAUAUGUGACUAUAAAUCUAUAUAGCAGUGGUUCUCAAUCUUAUAUUGCUUGUGGCCCCCUUCUGGAGUGGAGGAUGUUAGCACUCUGUGAAAUACCCUUAUCAAUCAAUAAAACAGGAAAGUUUUCUUGUCAAGGAAAAGUAAAUUCAGUUUUGAGCCUAGCAUUGUGCCCCCCCAUACAGUGUUAUAGAUUUUCAAUAUUCCAUGCCAAUUUCAGAGGUCGUUAGUAACUUUGCCCAGAAAUAAGUAGGAAUGAGUGACACUGCUUUGAGCAUGUUCUCAAAUUUGCAAAUUCAGAAAUGAGUCUUUCUUACUUCUUCUGAGUGAGUGUGCGUGACCUCGCUUUGAGCAAAUAAUUUAUGCCAAUUUCAGUGAUCGUGAAUAACUUUGUCCAGAAAUAAGUAGGCAUGAGGGAGCUUGCUUCGAGCAUGUUCUCAAAGUUGCAAACUAAAAAAUGACAAGUCUUUCUCACCUCUUCCGAGUAAAUGUACCGGACCUUGCUUUUUAAAUUGAAAAUCUCAACUCACGAACAUCCCUAGAUUCGCAUGUGUUUCAUUUUUAUGUGUCUCUGAGUCUUUUUUUUUUAAUUAAAACUAACAAAGAUGGCAAAUUUUAUUUCAACAUGGCAACCAAUUCUACGCACUGUAUUUUAAAACGUGUUACUUAUACUGUUAAAAAAAUUGUUCAAUUCAUUUUCAUUUCACAGUUACUAGUCAAAUAUGAGCUGUGAAGUCGAGUAAAAAUAAACCAAACUCUUUGUAAAAAAAUUCUGGAUCCUGUUGGAAAUUUUUUUUUGACUCCAGUCACCUCUCCCGAUUUUGACUGUAAUCACAACUAUAAAAAGACUGAAAUUUUACCCCGAAAUGUCUUUUUCGACUCGAAGUAGUUUGAAAAUACCACUAUGGCUCGUACAUCAAUGAAACUCGACAGAACUCCUACUUUGCAGCCGUGGAAAAAAUGGCAGAGCACGAGCGAUAGUUGUUUUUUUAUUGAAAAAUAUAAAUUUACUUUUCAAAUUGAGGUGAAAUACGAGUGAAUUAAACGAUUUUUAUCACAAUACAGUUCGUUAUAAUAAUGUGCUUUUCAUGCCCGCCCAAUUUCUUUUACUUUAUCUUAAAUAAAAAUAUGAAUUUUAGCAA